GUGGGGAAUCUUCCGCAAUGGACGAAAGUCUGACGGAGCAACGCCGCGUGAGUGAUGACGGCCUUCGGGUUGUAAAGCUCUGUUAAUCGGGACGAAUGGUUCUUGUGCGAAUAGUGCGAGGAUUUGACGGUACCGGAAUAGAAAGCCACGGCUAACUACGUGCCAGCAGCCGCGGUAAUACGUAGGUGGCAAGCGUUGUCCGGAAUUAUUGGGCGUAAAGCGCGCGCAGGCGGAUUGGUCAGUCUGUCUUAAAAGUUCGGGGCUUAACCCCGUGAUGGGAUGGAAACUGCCAAUCUAGAGUAUCGGAGAGGAAAGUGGAAUUCCUAGUGUAGCGGUGAAAUGCGUAGAUAUUAGGAAGAACACCAGUGGCGAAGGCGACUUUCUGGACGAAAACUGACGCUGAGGCGCGAAAGCCAGGGGAGCGAACGGGAUUAGAAACCCCAGUAGUCC
This 450-nucleotide ribosomal RNA is filed under the name uncultured Veillonellaceae bacterium. RNAcentral's name for it is "bacterial SSU rRNA". It matches the Rfam family "Bacterial small subunit ribosomal RNA", at positions 354 to 796 of the family's 1533-position model. Lineage: Bacteria; Bacillati; Bacillota; Negativicutes; Veillonellales; Veillonellaceae. The record is from RNAcentral.